Molecule: ribosomal RNA, 425 nt
Filed under: uncultured bacterium
Lineage: Bacteria
Description: partial 16S ribosomal RNA
Rfam family: Bacterial small subunit ribosomal RNA
Source: RNAcentral
GUGGGGAAUCUUGCGCAAUGGGCGAAAGCCUGACGCAGCCAUGCAGCGUGAAUGAUGAAGGUCUUAGGAUUGUAAAAUUCUUUCACCGGGGACGAUAAUGACGGUACCCGGAGAAGAAGCUCCGGCUAACUUCGUGCCAGCAGCCGCGGUAAUACGAAGGGGGCUAGCGUUGCUCGGAAUUACUGGGCGUAAAGGGCGCGUAGGCGGACAGCUUAGUCAGAGGUGAAAGCCCAGGGCUCAACCUUGGAAUUGCCUUUGAUACUGGCUGUCUUGAGUUUGGGAGAGGUGAGUGGAACUCCGAGUGUAGAGGUGAAAUUCGUAGAUAUUCGGAAGAACACCAGUGGCGAAGGCGACUCACUGGCCCAAUACUGACGCUGAGGCGCGAAAGCGUGGGGAGCAAACAGGAUUAGAAACCCUAGUAGUCC